RNAcentral lists this ribosomal RNA (379 nucleotides) under uncultured Chloroflexota bacterium. RNAcentral's name for it is "bacterial SSU rRNA". It matches the Rfam family "Bacterial small subunit ribosomal RNA", at positions 521 to 896 of the family's 1533-position model. The record is from RNAcentral. Lineage: Bacteria; Bacillati; Chloroflexota.
UAAUACGUAGGAGGCGAGCGUUAUCCGGAAUUACUGGGCGUAAAGCGCUUGUAGGCGGCUCGGUAGGUGCUUGGUGAAAGCCCCCGGCUCACCCGGGGAGGGUCCGAGCAAACCGACGGGCUAGAGGCAGGCAGAGGGUCGUGGAACGUCCGGGGGAGUGGUGGAAUGCGUAGAUCCCGGACGGAACACCAGAGGCGAAGGCGGCGACCUGGGCCUGAUCUGACGCUGAGAAGCGAUAGCGUGGGGAGCAAACAGGAUUAGAUACCCUGGUAGUCCACGCUGUAAACGAUGGACGCUUGGUGUGUGGGCGGCUCAACCCGUCCGCGUGCCGUAGCUAACGCGAUAAGCGUCCCGCCUGGGGACUACGGUCGCAAGACUA